RNAcentral lists this transfer RNA (73 nucleotides) under Stegodyphus mimosarum. It matches the Rfam family "tRNA". From Rfam's summary of the family: Transfer RNA (tRNA) molecules are approximately 80 nucleotides in length. The record is from Rfam by way of RNAcentral. Lineage: Eukaryota; Metazoa; Arthropoda; Arachnida; Araneae; Eresidae.
GCUUUCGUGGUGUAGUGGUCAGCACACUCGGCACGUAUUCGAGAGAUCCAUGGUUCGAGUCCCGGGGAAGGCU